GAUGAACGCUGGCGGCGUGCCUAAUACAUGCAAGUCGAGCGAACAGACGAGGAGCUUGCUCCCUUGACGUUAGCGGCGGACGGGUGAGUAACACGUGGAUAACCUACCUAUAAGACUGGGAUAACUUCGGGAAACCGGAGCUAAUACCGGAUAAUAUAUUGUACCGCAUGGUUCAAUAGUGAAUGACGGUUUUGCUGUCACUUAUAGAUGGAUCCGCGCCGCAUUAGCUAGUUGGUAAGGUAACGGCUUACCAAGGCAACGAUGCGUAGCCGACCUGAGAGGGUGAUCGGCCACACUGGAACUGAGACACGGUCCAGACUCCUACGGGAGGCAGCAGUAGGGAAUCUUGCGCAAUGGGCGAAAGCCUGACGGAGCAACGCCGCGUGAGUGAUGAAGGUCUUCGGGUCGUAAAGCUCUGUUGUUAGGGAAGAACAAAUGUGUAAGUAACUAUGCACGUCUUGACGGUACCUAAUCAGAAAGCCACGGCUAACUACGUG
RNAcentral lists this ribosomal RNA (497 nucleotides) under uncultured bacterium. RNAcentral's name for it is "partial 16S ribosomal RNA". It matches the Rfam family "Bacterial small subunit ribosomal RNA", at positions 28 to 507 of the family's 1533-position model. The record is from RNAcentral.